CCUACGGGAGGCAGCAGUGGGGAAUUUUCCGCAAUGGACGAAAGUCUGACGGAGCGACGCUGCGUGAAGGAUGAAGGCCCGUGGGUCGUAGACUUCUUUUCUCGAAGAAGAAAUUUUGACGGUAUUCGAGGAAUAAGCAUCGGCUAACUCUGUGCCAGCAGCCGCGGUAAGACAGAGGAUGCAAGUGUUAUUCGGAAUGAUUGGGCGUAAAGGGUCUGUAGGCGGUCAAGAAAGUCUUUUGUGAAAUCCUUCAGCUUAACUGGGGCUCCGCAAAAGAAACUUCUCGACUUGAGAGAAGUAGAGGUACAGGGAAUUCCCGGUGGAGCGGCGAAAUGCGUAGAUAUCGGGAGGAACACCAAUAUGGCGAAGGCACUGUACUGGGCUUUUUCUGACGCUCAGAGACGAAAGCUAAAGGAGUGAUUAGGAUUAGAUACCCUAGUAAUUUUAGCCGUAAACGAUGGAAACUCAGUGCCGAGCGAAAUACAACGAGCGGUGCUCAAGCUAACGCGUGAAGUUUCCCGCCUGGGGAAUACGCUUGCAAAGUGAAACUCAAAGGAAUUGAACGG
Molecule: ribosomal RNA, 566 nt
Filed under: uncultured bacterium
Lineage: Bacteria
Description: bacterial SSU rRNA
Rfam family: Bacterial small subunit ribosomal RNA
Source: RNAcentral